AUACAGAGGGUGCAAGCGUUAAUCGGAAUUACUGGGCGUAAAGCGCUCGUAGGCGGCCUGUUAAGUCGGAUGUGAAAGCCCCGGGCUCAACCUGGGAACUGCAUUCGAAACUGGCAGGCUAGAGUAUAGUAGAGGCAAGUGGAAUUCCGGGUGUAGCGGUGAAAUGCGUAGAUAUCCGGAGGAACAUCAGUGGCGAAGGCGACUUGCUGGACUAAUACUGACGCUGAGGAGCGAAAGCGUGGGGAGCAAACAGGAUUAGAAACCCCGGUAGUCC
RNAcentral lists this ribosomal RNA (274 nucleotides) under uncultured bacterium. RNAcentral describes it as "partial 16S ribosomal RNA". It matches the Rfam family "Bacterial small subunit ribosomal RNA", at positions 523 to 796 of the family's 1533-position model. The record is from RNAcentral.